Glycine soja is the source of this 1260-nucleotide long non-coding RNA. RefSeq lists it as uncharacterized. NCBI's taxonomy places the organism in Eukaryota, Viridiplantae, Streptophyta, Magnoliopsida, Fabales, Fabaceae. The transcript is spliced from 2 exons. The record is from RefSeq and is a predicted model, not a curated record.
CUAAAAUUUCUCCACGACCUUCGCGGCUCUCUCGACGCUCUCGUGAACGAAGACGCGAGCCCUCGCUCAUACACUCUUGUGAACCCAGACGCAAAUCCUCGCGCAGUAGUUCACGCUCUCACCCUCUCUCACGGUGGUUCAUGCUUUCUCUCGCGGUAGUUCAUACCAGGUUCAUCUCUCAUCUCUGAUUUUCGUUUCUAAUUUCAUUAUUUGGUUUUGUUGAUUUCGUUUCGUCUUUUUAUCUCGGGUUUAGUUUUUCUUUUCGUAUUUGAUUUUGUCACUAAUUUCGAGUUGGGCAAAUUGAUUCCUUAAUUAAUGUAUCUCAAUUUCUUUCGUCUUACAUGCACAGUUGUUUAUGGCAAAUUUUCCUCACUAAUUUUGUUUUGUUGAUUGCUUUUGAAUUUGUUUUGAGGAUUGUUUUGAAUUAUGAUUACACUCUGUGCUUGCACGAGAGGGUUUUUCCUGGAUGGAAUUUUGUGAGCUAUGAUGUUUUGUGCUGUCUUGAGGCAGAGUAAGUAAGGAAACUUAUUUGAUACCCACCUUGGACUAGUUACUUGAAAUUUUUUUUGAGGAUUGGCAUGGAAAGGGGAGUAUACUUCAAGAUGCUUUGUUUUCUAUGUUUAUUUGUGUUAAUCUAGGGGAGUUUGCUAUCUUUCUAAAUUUUGAAGGAAUAAGCUAAAUACGUGACUCUGAGAAUUUGUAAAUUAAAGAAGAAAAAUCAACAAAAGGGAAAAGCGAGAAUGUAAAUGAGUCUAGCUUUAAUGCUAACUCAAAAUUCUUGAGGCUUAUGUUUUCUGUUGCAAAUUCUGUUGGGACAACCGGCAUAAUGAGGAAAUGAGAAAAUUAUAUAUGUUAGUUUUGAUACUAGGAAAAGCCUUGCAAGGAAAGUAAGAAUCUUCUUCCCAGUUUGAUCAAAGAAGUUCCAAGCUCUUAGAAACAAGCUUUUUCACAAACAAUGGUUUGGGGAUUUUCAGAGCCUAAUUCAAAGUUGUUAGAUUAGAAAUAAAGAAAACACUCUCGAAACUCCUCUUAUGGUUAUGGAUAUAUGUGUGUGUAUUAAUGAUCUCUAUCACAGGGUAUUAAUAGUAAUGGCUCACCCACUCAGGUAUCAUGGAUGGGUUUUUGGAAUUUUACUCUUUUGAAGGACUGGAGUCUUCUACUGAGUCUAAAAUAUGUUUCUUGUUACCUUUUCAAUAUUGUUAAGGGAACUUAUCCUUGAUUCCUUGUUAGAUCAAUCUUAUGCCAUCAUUUCAAUUUUUA